Molecule: microRNA precursor, 204 nt
Filed under: Lotus japonicus
Lineage: Eukaryota; Viridiplantae; Streptophyta; Magnoliopsida; Fabales; Fabaceae
Description: miR11165 stem-loop (lja-MIR11165)
Source: miRBase by way of RNAcentral
AAUUACACUCAACUGCCUUGAGGUUUCCUUAUAUAACACUAAAUUUUAAAUUUCAUCAAAUAUUACACUUCACUCAAUUUUCCUCAAGUAGAUAAUAAUUUUUUUAACAAUAUUCUCUAACAAAAAGUGGGGUAGAGUGUAGUAUUUAAGUAAAUUUGGAGUUUAGUGUCAUAAAAGGAAACCUCAAUGUAGCUGAGUGUAAUU